This 233-nucleotide ribosomal RNA is filed under the name uncultured bacterium. Its description in RNAcentral is "partial 16S ribosomal RNA". It matches the Rfam family "Bacterial small subunit ribosomal RNA", at positions 524 to 757 of the family's 1533-position model. The record is from RNAcentral.
UACGAAGGGUGCAAGCGUUACUCGGAAUUACUGGGCGUAAAGCGUGCGUAGGUGGUUUGUUAAGUCUGUUGUGAAAGCCCCGGGCUCAACCUGGGAAUGGCAAUGGAUACUGGCAGCUAGAGUGCGGUAGAGGGUAGUGGAAUUCCCGGUGUAGCGGUGAAAUGCGUAGAGAUCGGGAGGAACACCAGUGGCGAAGGCGGCUACCUGGACCAGCACUGACACUGAGGCACGAA